Molecule: ribosomal RNA, 355 nt
Filed under: uncultured bacterium
Lineage: Bacteria
Description: bacterial SSU rRNA
Rfam family: Bacterial small subunit ribosomal RNA
Source: RNAcentral
AGAGUUUGAUCCUGGCUCAGGAUGAACGCUAGCUACAGGCUUAACACAUGCAAGUCGAGGGGAAACGGACAUCGAAAGCUUGCUUUUGAUGGGCGUCGACCGGCGCACGGGUGAGUAACGCGUAUCCAACCUGCCCACCACUUGGGGAUAACCUUGCGAAAGUAAGACUAAUACCCAAUGACGUCUCUAGAAGACAUCUGAAAGAGAUUAAAGAUUUAUCUGUGAUGGAGUGGGGAUGCGUCUGAUUAGCUUGUUGGCGGGGUAACGGCCCACCAAGGCGACGAUCAGGUAGGGGUUCUGAGAGGAAGGUCCCCCACAUUGGAACUGAGACACGGUCCAACUCCUACGGGAGGCA